AGCUUUGCGCAGUGGCAGUAUCGUAGCCAAUGAGGUUUAUCCAAGGCACGAUGAUUGCUAAUUGAAAAAGACUUCUGAUGUCGACUUCUGGGCUCCACAUAUGCAUGUACUCAAAUGCAUAUGUACCUGCACA
RNAcentral lists this small nuclear RNA (133 nucleotides) under Jaculus jaculus (lesser Egyptian jerboa). RNAcentral's name for it is "U4 spliceosomal RNA (ENSJJAG00000002366.1)". It matches the Rfam family "U4 spliceosomal RNA". Rfam says of the family: U4 small nuclear RNA (U4 snRNA) is a component of the major U2-dependent spliceosome. The structure of U4 snRNA from yeast and human has been reported. The record is from RNAcentral. Lineage: Eukaryota; Metazoa; Chordata; Mammalia; Rodentia; Dipodidae.